RNAcentral lists this ribosomal RNA (823 nucleotides) under Micrococcaceae bacterium ACEMC 22-7. RNAcentral describes it as "partial 16S ribosomal RNA". Lineage: Bacteria; Bacillati; Actinomycetota; Actinomycetes; Micrococcales; Micrococcaceae. The record is from RNAcentral.
GGGGCACUUAAUGCGUUAGCUACGGCGCGGAAAACGUGGAAUGUCCCCCACACCUAGUGCCCAACGUUUACGGCAUGGACUACCAGGGUAUCUAAUCCUGUUCGCUCCCCAUGCUUUCGCUCCUCAGCGUCAGUAACAGCCCAGAGACCUGCCUUCGCCAUCGGUGUUCCUCCUGAUAUCUGCGCAUUUCACCGCUACACCAGGAAUUCCAGUCUCCCCUACUGCACUCUAGUCUGCCCGUACCCACUGCACACCACGGGGUUAAGCCCCGGGCUUUCACAGCAGACGCGACAAACCGCCUACGAGCUCUUUACGCCCAAUAAUUCCGGACAACGCUUGCGCCCUACGUAUUACCGCGGCUGCUGGCACGUAGUUAGCCGGCGCUUCUUCUGCACGUACCGUCACUUUCGCUUCUUCCGUGCUGAAAGAGGUUUACAACCCGAAGGCCGUCAUCCCUCACGCGGCGUCGCUGCAUCAGGCUUUCGCCCAUUGUGCAAUAUUCCCCACUGCUGCCUCCCGUAGGAGUCUGGGCCGUGUCUCAGUCCCAGUGUGGCCGGUCACCCUCUCAGGCCGGCUACCCGUCGUCGCCUUGGUAGGCCAUUACCCCACCAACAAGCUGAUAGGCCGUGAGCCCAUCCAAAACCAGUAAAACCCUUUCCACACACCCCCAUGCGAGAGAGUGUAGUAUCCAGUAUUAGACCCAGUUUCCCAGGCUUAUCCCAGAGUCAAGGGCAGGUUACUCACGUAUUACUCACCCGUUCGCCACUCAUCCACCCAGAUGCAAGCACCCAAGCUUCAGCGUUCGACUUGCAUGUGUUAAGCA